Molecule: ribosomal RNA, 249 nt
Filed under: Triticum aestivum (bread wheat)
Lineage: Eukaryota; Viridiplantae; Streptophyta; Magnoliopsida; Poales; Poaceae
Description: partial small subunit ribosomal RNA
Source: RNAcentral
AUGGCGGAGUGGCGCCGGCGCCACCCGGAGGACGUCGCCUACGAGCAAGUCUACUGGGCAAGGCGCCGCGAGGAGCGGUUGGACAGGCGUCGACGGAAGGCAUUGACGAAUGCGCAGUCCGAUAUCGUUGCAACAGGUGGGAGGUCGAUCUUCACGGCAGACGAUGAUUGUUGGUUGGACAUAUGGCUCGAUACCUCGGACGACACCGGCGAGGAUGAUAAUGGUGAUGAUGGUAGCGACUUGGAGUAG